Molecule: transfer RNA, 59 nt
Filed under: Japalura austeniana
Lineage: Eukaryota; Metazoa; Chordata; Lepidosauria; Squamata; Agamidae
Description: Pseudocalotes austeniana partial tRNA-Ile
Source: RNAcentral
CCUCCACAUAAGAUCCCAAAACUCUUCGUACUUCCAAUUAUACUACACUCUACCCUAUA